GCAUAUAUGCAUACACGACUGUGAACACGCCUGAUCUCCUCUGAUCUCUGAAGCUAACAAGUUGGGCCUGGUUAGUACUUUGAUGGGAAACCUCUUGGGAAUGGCAGGUGCUGUAGCCU
Molecule: ribosomal RNA, 119 nt
Filed under: Pelecanus crispus (Dalmatian pelican)
Lineage: Eukaryota; Metazoa; Chordata; Aves; Pelecaniformes; Pelecanidae
Source: RNAcentral